This 268-nucleotide ribosomal RNA is filed under the name uncultured bacterium. RNAcentral describes it as "partial 16S ribosomal RNA". It matches the Rfam family "Bacterial small subunit ribosomal RNA", at positions 57 to 305 of the family's 1533-position model. The record is from RNAcentral.
GCAAGUCGAACGAGAAAGGGAUUGCUUGCAAUCCCGAGUAGAGUGGCGCACGGGUGAGUAACACGUGGAUAAUCUACCUUUGAAUCCGGGAUAACUGCUCGAAAGGGUAGCUAAUACCGAAUGAAGUCAAUGUUUCUUCGGAAGCUUUGAUGAAAGACAGCCUCUGCAUGCAAGCUGUUGUUUGAAGAUGAGUCCGCGCACCAUUAGUUUGUUGGUGGGGUAACGGCCUACCAAGGCUGUGAUGGUUAGCUGGUCUGAGAGGAUGAUC